UUGGAGGGCAAGUCUGGUGCCAGCAGCCGCGGUAAUUCCAGCUCCAAUAGCGUAUAUUAAAGUUGUUGCCGUUAGAAAGCUCGUAGUUGAACCUUGGACCUGGCUGAUCUGUCCUCCUAAUCGAGCGCACGGAUUCGGUCGGGUCUUUCCUUCUGGGGAGCCCUAUGCCCUUCACUGGGUGUAGUGGGGAACCAGGACUUUUACCUUGAAAAAAUUAGAGUGUUCAAAGCAGGCCUUUGCUCGAAUACAUUAGCAUGGAAUAAUAGAAUAGGACAUCGGUUCUAUUUUGUUGGUUUCUAGGACCGCUGUAAUGAUUAAUAGGGAUAGUCGGGGGCGUCAGUAUUCAAUUGUCAGAGGUGAAAUUCUUGGAUUUAUUGAAGACUAACUACUGCGAAAGCAUUCGCCAAGGAUGUUUUCAUUAAUCAGUGAACGGAAGUUAGGGGAUCGAAGACGAUCAGAUACCGUCGUAGUCUUAACCAUAAACUAUGCCGACUAGGGAUCGGACGGUGGUUUUUUUAUGCCCCGUUCGGCGCCUUACGGGAAAC
This 545-nucleotide ribosomal RNA is filed under the name uncultured Ascomycota. Its description in RNAcentral is "SSU rRNA". It matches the Rfam family "Eukaryotic small subunit ribosomal RNA", at positions 548 to 1098 of the family's 1831-position model. The record is from RNAcentral. Lineage: Eukaryota; Fungi; Ascomycota.